GUGGGGAAUAUUGGACAAUGGGCGAAAGCCUGAUCCAGCCAUGCCGCGUGUGUGAAGAAGGUCUUCGGAUUGUAAAGCACUUUAAGUUGGGAGGAAGGGCAGUAAGUUAAUACCUUGCUGUUUUGACGUUACCGACAGAAUAAGCACCGGCUAACUUCGUGCCAGCAGCCGCGGUAAUACGAAGGGUGCAAGCGUUAAUCGGAAUUACUGGGCGUAAAGCGCGCGUAGGUGGUUUUGUAAGUUGGAGGUGAAAUCCCCGGGCUCAACCUGGGAACUGCAUCCAAAACUGGCGAGCUAGAGUACGGUAGAGGGUGGUGGAAUUUCCUGUGUAGCGGUGAAAUGCGUAGAUAUAGGAUGGAACACCAGUGGCGAAGGCGACCACCUGGACUGAUACUGACACUGAGGUGCGAAAGCGUGGGGAGCAAACAGGAUUAGAUACCCGGGUAGCC
This 449-nucleotide ribosomal RNA is filed under the name uncultured bacterium. RNAcentral's name for it is "partial 16S ribosomal RNA". It matches the Rfam family "Bacterial small subunit ribosomal RNA", at positions 354 to 795 of the family's 1533-position model. The record is from RNAcentral.